This 408-nucleotide ribosomal RNA is filed under the name uncultured bacterium. RNAcentral's name for it is "bacterial SSU rRNA". It matches the Rfam family "Bacterial small subunit ribosomal RNA", at positions 508 to 916 of the family's 1533-position model. The record is from RNAcentral.
UCAGCAGCCGCGGUAAUACGUAGGGUGCAAGCGUUAAUCGGAAUUACUGGGCGUAAAGCGUGCGCAGGCGGUUAUGUAAGACAGAGGUGAAAUCCCCGGGCUCAACCUGGGAACUGCCUUUGUGACUGCAUAGCUAGAGUACGGUAGAGGGGGAUGGAAUUCCGCGUGUAGCAGUGAAAUGCGUAGAUAUGCGGAGGAACACCGAUGGCGAAGGCAAUCCCCUGGACCUGUACUGACGCUCAUGCACGAAAGCGUGGGGAGCAAACAGGAUUAGAUACCCUGGUAGUCCACGCCCUAAACGAUGUCAACUGGUUGUUGGGUCUUCACUGACUCAGUAACGAAGCUAACGCGUGAAGUUGACCGCCUGGGGAGUACGGCCGCMAGGUUGAAACUCAAAGGAAUUGACAG